UUGUAUUUCCUGAACCGUCUGAGGGUUUUCUGGCGUGUGUGCAGAAUCAUCAUGCUGUUGUUGUGCCUAGGCUUCCUGCUGGUUUGAAUUUGCUUAGCCCAGUCAGGAGAUGUCAAGAUUAACUUUCAAUGUGGAGCUUGAUACUGCUAAUGCAACUUAGUUAUUUAUUAAUAUUUUAGAUUAUUCUAUCUUUAAGUGCUAAGUGUAAUUUGUGACAUUCAUGUAACAUUGGGAUGGUCAUCUUAUUUUUUUGGGUAUCUUUUUAUUAAGACAAUGAGAUAUUGGCCAAUGAUGUUGAAAAAUAACAUCCAAUUUUAUAGGUAUCAUGUAAUGAAUAUUAUGUUUAUUUAUGUGA
Molecule: non-coding RNA, 355 nt
Organism: Arachis ipaensis
Lineage: Eukaryota; Viridiplantae; Streptophyta; Magnoliopsida; Fabales; Fabaceae
Source: RefSeq, a predicted model, not a curated record